Molecule: transfer-messenger RNA, 362 nt
Filed under: Caulobacterales bacterium 32-69-10
Lineage: Bacteria; Pseudomonadati; Pseudomonadota; Alphaproteobacteria; Caulobacterales
Rfam family: Alphaproteobacteria transfer-messenger RNA
About the family: Bacterial tmRNA, also known as 10Sa RNA or SsrA, is named for its dual tRNA and mRNA-like properties. Its role is to liberate the mRNA from a stalled ribosome.
Source: RNAcentral
GCCCUUUUAUCAGCACCUUCGACCCCCUAUAUUCCUCCUGUCGGGUUCGCCCGACUAUGGAGAUAAACGCGCUCGUAAUAAGCGGACUGGACCCGGGUGCGAUUCCCGGCGGCUCCACCAAAUCUUCUUCCGUUAUCGGGAAGUAAGCAGGGGGCCGAUCAGCAUCGACAGACGUGUAAAGGUGUUGCUUUCUCUCGGCUUGACCCACCGUUUCGGGUUAUUUUCUAAAUGCGAACGAUAACUUCGCUGAAGAAGUCCGCCUCGCCGCGUAAUGCGGUUCGGUAGACUUCGCGUCUAAAGUCCUGGGGGUUCAGAUCCUCAGGCGGGGCUCGGGGGGGGCCUGGCAACAGAACCCCCCCACU